ACUCUAGUCUGACUUUGUGAAGAGACAUGAGAGGUGUAGCAUAAGUGGGAGCCAAGGGAUCAAUCUUGGCUGUUACUUCGGUGGCAGUUAAGACCCCUUGGCUACAGUGAAAUACCACUACUCUCAUAGUUUCUUUACUUACACGGUUAAAGGGAAGUUGGGAUAGUGUCUCUCUCACUUGGGUUUACCUCAGGGUUCGGGAAGGCCUCCUAUCCUUAAAUUCUAGAGCAAAGU
Molecule: non-coding RNA, 234 nt
Filed under: Tetranychus urticae (two-spotted spider mite)
Lineage: Eukaryota; Metazoa; Arthropoda; Arachnida; Trombidiformes; Tetranychidae
Description: Eukaryotic large subunit ribosomal RNA
Rfam family: Eukaryotic large subunit ribosomal RNA
Source: Rfam by way of RNAcentral